GCCCAACGUGGUGGCACAUGCCUAUAGUCUCAGCUACUCGGGAGGCUGAGGUGGUGGAUCCCGUGAGCCCAGGAGUUCUGGGCUGUAGUGCACUAUGCCGAUCAAGUGUCCUCACUAAGUUCAGCAUCAAUAUGGUGACCUACCAGGAGUGGGGGACCACCAGGUUGCCUAAGGAAGGGUGAAUCAACCCAGGUUGGAAACAGAGCAGGUCAAAACUCCCAUGCUGAUCAGUAGUGGGAUCGAGCCUGUGAAUAGCCACUGCACUCCAGCCUGAACAACAUAGGGAGACCCUGUCUCUU
RNAcentral lists this signal recognition particle RNA (299 nucleotides) under Callithrix jacchus (white-tufted-ear marmoset). RNAcentral describes it as "Metazoan signal recognition particle RNA (ENSCJAG00000075991.1)". It matches the Rfam family "Metazoan signal recognition particle RNA". From Rfam's summary of the family: The signal recognition particle (SRP) is a universally conserved ribonucleoprotein. It is involved in the co-translational targeting of proteins to membranes. The eukaryotic SRP consists of a 300-nucleotide 7S RNA and six proteins: SRPs 72, 68, 54, 19, 14, and 9. Lineage: Eukaryota; Metazoa; Chordata; Mammalia; Primates; Cebidae. The record is from Rfam by way of RNAcentral.